UACAGAGGUCUCAAGCGUUGUUCGGAUUCAUUGGGCGUAAAGGGUGCGUAGGUGGCGCGGUAAGUCGGGUGUGAAAUCUCGGAGCUUAACUCCGAAAUUGCAUUCGAUACUGCCGUGCUCGAGGACUGGAGAGGAGGCUGGAAUUCAUGGUGUAGCAGUGAAAUGCGUAGAGAUCAUGAGGAAGACCAGUGGCGAAGGCGGGUCUCUGGGCCGAUACUGACGCUGAGGAGCGAAAGCGUGGGGAGCGAACAGG
This 253-nucleotide ribosomal RNA is filed under the name uncultured bacterium. RNAcentral's name for it is "partial 16S ribosomal RNA". It matches the Rfam family "Bacterial small subunit ribosomal RNA", at positions 524 to 776 of the family's 1533-position model. The record is from RNAcentral.